Molecule: transfer RNA, 70 nt
Filed under: Calleida angusticollis
Lineage: Eukaryota; Metazoa; Arthropoda; Insecta; Coleoptera; Carabidae
Description: tRNA-Ala
Source: RNAcentral
AGGAUAAUAGUUAAUUAAUAACAUUUGAAUUGCAUUCAAAAAAUGUUGAAAAUAAAAUCAACUUAUCUUA